RNAcentral lists this ribosomal RNA (928 nucleotides) under Helotium elaeocarpi. RNAcentral's name for it is "LSU rRNA". It matches the Rfam family "Eukaryotic large subunit ribosomal RNA", at positions 33 to 978 of the family's 3401-position model. RNAcentral also lists the same sequence under 1 other name. The record is from RNAcentral. Lineage: Eukaryota; Fungi; Ascomycota; Leotiomycetes; Helotiales; Helotiaceae.
CUUAAGCAUAUCAAUAAGCGGAGGAAAAGAAACCAACAGGGAUUACCUCAGUAACGGCGAGUGAAGCGGUAACAGCUCAAAUUUGAAAUCUGGUCCUUUCAGGGCCCGAGUUGUAAUUUGUAGAAGAUGCUUUGGGUGUGGCCCCGGUCUAAGUUCCUUGGAACAGGACGUCAUAGAGGGUGAGAAUCCCGUAUGUGACUGGGUGCUUUCGCCCGUGUAAAGCUCUUUCGACGAGUCGAGUUGUUUGGGAAUGCAGCUCAAAAUGGGUGGUAUAUUUCAUCUAAAGCUAAAUAUUGGCCAGAGACCGAUAGCGCACAAGUAGAGUGAUCGAAAGAUGAAAAGCACUUUGGAAAGAGAGUUAAACAGUACGUGAAAUUGUUGAAAGGGAAGCGCUUGCAACCAGACUUGCAGGGCGUCGAUCAUCCGGGGUUCUCCCCGGUGCACUCGGCGUCUUUCAGGCCAGCAUCGGUUUUGGGGGUGGGAUAAAGGCCUUGGGAAUGUAGCUUCUUUCGGGGAGUGUUAUAGCCCUCGGUGCAAUGCCGCCACCCGGGACCGAGGACCGCGCUUCGGCUAGGAUGCUGGCGUAAUGGUUGUAAGCGACCCGUCUUGAAACACGGACCAAGGAGUCUAACAUCUAUGCGAGUAUUUGGGUGUUAAACCCAUAUGCGGAAUGAAAGUGAACGGAGGUGGGAACCCGUUAGGGGGCACCAUCGACCGAUCCUGAUGUCUUCGGAUGGAUUUGAGUAAGAGCAUAGCUGUUGGGACCCGAAAGAUGGUGAACUAUGCCUAAAUAGGGUGAAGCCAGAGGAAACUCUGGUGGAGGCUCGCAGCGGUUCUGACGUGCAAAUCGAUCGUCAAAUUUGGGUAUAGGGGCGAAAGACUAAUCGAACCAUCUAGUAGCUGGUUCCUGCCGAAGUUUCCCUCAGGA